GAGUUUGAUCAUGGCUCAGAUUGAACGCUGGCGGCAUGCCUUACACAUGCAAGUCGAGCGGAUGACGGGAGCUUGCUCCUUGAUUCAGCGGCGGACGGGUGAGUAAUGCCUAGGAAUCUGCCUGGUAGUGGGGGACAACGUUUCGAAAGGAACGCUAAUACCGCAUACGUCCUACGGGAGAAAGCAGGGGACCUUCGGGCCUUGCGCUAUCAGAUGAGCCUAGGUCGGAUUAGCUAGUUGGUGGGGUAAUGGCUCACCAAGGCGACGAUCCGUAACUGGUCUGAGAGGAUGAUCAGUCACACUGGAACUGAGACACGGUCCAGACUCCUACGGGAGGCAGCAGUGGGGAAUAUUGGACAAUGGGCGAAAGCCUGAUCCAGCCAUGCCGCGUGUGUGAAGAAGGUCUUCGGAUUGUAAAGCACUUUAAGUUGGGAGGAAGGGCAGUAAGUUAAUACCUUGCUGUUUUGACGUUACCGACAGAAUAAGCACCGGCUAACUCUGUGCCAG
This 507-nucleotide ribosomal RNA is filed under the name bacterium enrichment culture clone ALO1_GLFRUDD03FYGM7. Its description in RNAcentral is "bacterial SSU rRNA". It matches the Rfam family "Bacterial small subunit ribosomal RNA", at positions 9 to 511 of the family's 1533-position model. The record is from RNAcentral.